RNAcentral lists this ribosomal RNA (449 nucleotides) under uncultured bacterium. RNAcentral describes it as "partial 16S ribosomal RNA". It matches the Rfam family "Bacterial small subunit ribosomal RNA", at positions 29 to 523 of the family's 1533-position model. The record is from RNAcentral.
AAUGAACGCUGGCGGCAGGCCUAAAACAUGCAAGUCGAACGCUGUAGCAAUACAGAGUGGCGCACGGGUGCGUAACACGUGGGAAUAUGCCUUUUGGUACGGAAUAGCUCCGGGAAACUGGAAUUAAUACCGUAUGGUCCCUUCGGGGUAAAGAUUUAUCGCCAAAAGAUUAGCCCGCGCUGGAUUAGCUAGUUGGUGAGGUAAUGGCUCACCAAGGCAACGAUCCAUAGCUGGUCUGAGAGGACGAUCAGCCACACUGGGACUGAGACACGGCCCAGACUCCUACGGGAGGCAGCAGUUAGGAAUAUUGGACAAUGGGCGCAAGCCUGAUCCAGCCAUGCCGCGUGAGUGAUGAAGGCCUUAGGGUUGUAAAGCUCUUUUGUCGGGGACGAUAAUGACGGUACCCGAAGAAUAAGUCCCGGCUAACUUCGUGCCAGCCGCCGCAGUAA